RNAcentral lists this ribosomal RNA (496 nucleotides) under uncultured bacterium. Its description in RNAcentral is "partial 16S ribosomal RNA". It matches the Rfam family "Bacterial small subunit ribosomal RNA", at positions 28 to 506 of the family's 1533-position model. The record is from RNAcentral.
GACGAACGCUGGCGGCGUGCCUAAUACAUGCAAGUUGAGCGCUGAAGGUUGGUACUUGUACCAACUGGAUGAGCAGCGAACGGGUGAGUAACGCGUGGGGAAUCUGCCUUUGAGCGGGGGACAACAUUUGGAAACGAAUGCUAAUACCGCAUAAAAACUUUAAACACAAGUUUUAAGUUUGAAAGAUGCAAUUGCAUCACUCAAAGAUGAUCCCGCGUUGUAUUAGCUAGUUGGUGAGGUAAAGGCUCACCAAGGCGAUGAUACAUAGCCGACCUGAGAGGGUGAUAGGCCACAUUGGGACUGAGACACGGCCCAAACUCCUACGGGAGGCAGCAGUAGGGAAUCUUCGGCAAUGGACGAAAGUCUGACCGAGCAACGCCGCGUGAGUGAAGAAGGUUUUCGGAUCGUAAAACUCUGUUGGUAGAGAAGAACGUUGGUGAGAGUGGAAAGCUCAUCAAGUGACGGUAACUACCCAGAAAGGGACGGCUAACUACGU